UUGACUGGGUUGUAGCUGGCCUUCCGAGGCAUGUGCACGCCCUACUCAUCCACUCUACACCUGUGCACUUACUGUGGGUUUCAGAUCGUGAAACGAGGGUCCCUAUUACCGGGGCUUUCGAGAAGCGGUUUGUGCCUGCGUUUACUACAAACACUAUAAAGUAUUAGAAUGUGUAUUGCGAUGUAACGCAUCUAUAUACAACUUUCAGCAACGGAUCUCUUGGCUCUCGCAUCGAUGAAGAACGCAGCGAAAUGCGAUAAGUAAUGUGAAUUGCAGAAUUCAGUGAAUCAUCGAAUCUUUGAACGCACCUUGCGCUCCUUGGUAUUCCGAGGAGCAUGCCUGUUUGAGUGUCAUGAAAUCUUCAACCUGCAAGCUUUUACCGGUUUGUAGGCUUGGACUUGGAGGUUUGUCGGCCCUUAGUUGGUCGGCUCCUCUCAAAUGCAUUAGCUUGAUUCCUUGUGGAUCGGCUCUCGGUGUGAUAAUUGUCUACGCCGCGACCGUGAAGCGUUUUUGGCGAGCUUCUAAACCCUGCGUCUCGUUAAAGAGGCUGCACUUACAUGACAUCUGACCUCAAAUCAGGUAGGACUACCCGCUGAACUUAAGCAUAUCAAUAAGCGGGAGAGGAUCAUUAUCGAGUCUU
Molecule: ribosomal RNA, 640 nt
Filed under: Amauroderma sp. BRFM 915
Lineage: Eukaryota; Fungi; Basidiomycota; Agaricomycetes; Polyporales; Polyporaceae
Description: eukaryotic LSU rRNA
Rfam family: 5.8S ribosomal RNA (bases 200-353)
Source: RNAcentral